GCCGGGCCCGGGCACGGAGCGGGGCUGCGGCGGGUGGGCGGGCGGCGCGCUGUGCCCGAGCCCGCGGGUCCCUUCGUUCCGCUUCUGCCGGCCCCGAGGGCAGCUUCGCGGGAGCUGCCCUGCCUGCUGUGUUCUUCCCUGCUCCGGAGCCGGGGGAGGGGGAAAGAGGCUGCUACGCGAACGAUGGGGUGGGAGCAGCAGAGGUAUGUGUCAUCCACCUGCUGACAUGGUCUGCAAAAGAAAACUUGUUCCGGAGACCUCAUCACCACUGAGAGAGACAAGCAUCCAUGCUGGCACCCAUAUCUCCUGGAUUUGGUCGUAAGUCAUGAAAUUUGUCUCACGAGGAUUAGAAACGCUGCCAUCUGCAAUACAGACAUUUCUAUCAGCGGAUGUGACCAGGAAAACCUAGUGUUUGUCAGUAAUUGCUUCUAAAAAUAGGCACUGUCUCUUAAAAGUGAAACAGGAGGGUGACAAGGAGCUUUAAAACAAUUCUCGUUAGUGGCAGAGAAUAACCCACAUCUAUAACUGUGUUGUAAGGCCAGCACUGUUGCUGUGGUGGAGGGCGCUAAGCCCCUGGCAGCCCAAAUGCUGCCUUUGUACCUCAGUCCCACGUGGCACCAUGGGUAGGAGGCCCUGACAUACUCCCCCCAGGCUCCAUUUUCUCACAUGAUGGAGAGGAGCUGCAUCAGCAUGGGGCAGGGGAGUGGCACAGGCACAAAAGCUGUUGGGGUGGGAAGGGAAAGGUAGCACGGACCAGGUCAAGGGGCAGGAUUAGACCUUCUGUUCAUCCUGGAGGACAAACCCACACAGCCUUUACCUCCUCCAAGGGGCCUUGCAGACUCUCUUUUGUAAAUGCUAAUCAAGAGAGUAAAUCAGAGCUUGUUGUCAGUGAAGUAACAUGGGAUAGCUUUCUCCUGUCUCUUAGCAAUGGGUCUUCUGUGCUGCCAAGAGACAACUGAUAAUGACUUCUUAAUACACUUGCUCUGAUAAUAAGGUUUUUGUCACUAUUGUCCAAACUGCUCAACUCACAUGUGUGGUAGGACACAGAAAAUGUCACUCCGUCUCUGCUCUGUGCUCACUCUACAUUUUCAUCUAAAAUAAUCCGCUUCUAAUUCACAGCAAAGAAACUGAUGGGAGUGAAGAGAAAGUGCUUCCCAAGAGCUCUCUAAUGGGCCUAGGCAACGGUGUGAGCACAAUGUGGGUAUUCCUCUGCUUUCAGGAAGCAGGAAGCAUACUGACUGUCCUUCUUUCCCGUAUGCGUGUUCUAGCUCCAAUCUCAGAAUCAAAGGAUGGAGUUUUCACAGUGGGACUGUGCAAAGCAGGGGGGGGAGCAGCCCUGCUGCCAGCUGAGGCAAGCGGUCCUGGUGCAUCGCCUGUACUUGCCUUGCCACAGGCACGGCUGUUGCACACUGCACAGCAUCCUCUGGGCAGCAACACCAAAUCGGGGCUGUGAACAUCGGAUGAAGGGCUUCCGAUGGCAGAUGGCAGACUCUGAGCUGCGCACACUUUUAGAUUAGUGUAGUUUCAAAUCGUUUUAAUCUGCUUUGGUUCUCGUGGCUUGCCCAGGCUGCAAAAAGGUAUGAAAACAACAUAAAGGUAGCUGCCUGCACAUCUGGCGAGCACCAGCAUGCUACAGUGCAGGGGAGAGCUGGGAGUAGUUGGUGGAAAUUUAGCAGAAGAAAACAAUGACCGGUUGUCAAAAGGAAUGUCUUUACUAAGCAGUGUUCUAAUCACAGAAGGUGAUGAGACACCGCUUACACCAGGUGCUCUGGGUGAAAAGAAACAGUCCGAAUUGGCCGGACCCCUUUGUCAGCCCCCAGCCCCACGGUUCUGAGGCAGCCAUUUCAUUUCAGGCUGUGCAAGCCUGCAGCCCGAGGCCGGUCUCGUGACCGUUUCUGUCUCUAGCAGCCUGAUCCACUACAGCCCAUAUAAAUCAGUGGGAAUUAUUCUCGUGGAAAACUGGGGUCUUGGAAGAGGCCCUUGAAAUAUAGCAGAUAUAUCAGCGGCAGUGUUGGCACCGCAUAAAGGGCAGAGCGAAUAAUAAUAGCAACAAAGAACUCCCAGCAUCCAGAAAGUGCAGCAGAGGUCAGGCUCUGCAUGAAGACAGUUGUUAUGAGAGAUUUAAAUGUUUUGAAGGAAAGCACAGCAGGGCGGUCACGCAAGGAACUCUGCUGCAGCCACAGCCCCUGUUCCUGGGCACUGGCUGAGGCUGCUGCUGUGGGCAUUGCACCUGCCCCACUGUUCUCCAUUCAGACUGUGUUUCCAGGCUUGCUUUAUGCACUCCCCACAGCCCACAGCCCUGCUGCAGGUGCUUCAGUCUGUACUGAUGGGCUGUGAAAGC
Long non-coding RNA from Gallus gallus (chicken), 2341 nucleotides. RefSeq lists it as uncharacterized. The record is from RefSeq and is a predicted model, not a curated record. The transcript is spliced from 3 exons. Lineage: Eukaryota; Metazoa; Chordata; Aves; Galliformes; Phasianidae.